RNAcentral lists this ribosomal RNA (491 nucleotides) under uncultured bacterium. RNAcentral describes it as "partial 16S ribosomal RNA". It matches the Rfam family "Bacterial small subunit ribosomal RNA", at positions 29 to 507 of the family's 1533-position model. The record is from RNAcentral.
AGUGAACGCUGGCGGUAGGCCUAACACAUGCAAGUCGAACGGCAGCACAGUAAGAGCUUGCUCUUACGGGUGGCGAGUGGCGGACGGGUGAGGAAUACAUCGGAAUCUACUUUUUCGUGGGGGAUAACGUAGGGAAACUACGCUAAUACCGCAUACGACCUACGGGUGAAAGCAGGGGAUCUUCGGACCUUGCGCGAUUGAAUGAGCCGAUGUCGGAUUAGCUAGUUGGCGGGGUAAAGGCCCACCAAGGCGACGAUCCGUAGCUGGUCUGAGAGGAUGAUCAGCCACACUGGAACUGAGACACGGUCCAGACUCCUACGGGAGGCAGCAGUGGGGAAUAUUGGACAAAGGGCGCAAGCCUGAUCCAGCCAUACCGCGUGGGUGAAGAAGGCCUUCGGGUUGUAAAGCCCUUUUGUUGGGAAAGAAAAGCAGCAGGUUAAUACCCCGCUGUUCUGACGGUACCCAAAGAAUAAGCACCGGCUAACUUCGUG